UGGGGAAUAUUGGACAAUGGGCGCAAGCCUGAUCCAGCCAUGCCGCGUGAGUGACGAAGGUCUUCGGAUUGUAAAGCUCUUUUUACCAGGGACGAUAAUGACGGUACCUGGAGAAUAAGCCCCGGCUAACUUCGUGCCAGCAGCCGCGGUAAUACGAAGGGGGCUAGCGUUGUUCGGAAUUACUGGGCGUAAAGCGCACGUAGGCGGAUUUGUAAGUCAGGGGUGAAAUCCCGGGGCUCAACCUCGGAACUGCCUUUGAUACUGCAAGUCUCGAGUCCGAUAGAGGUGAGUGGAAUUCCUAGUGUAGAGGUGAAAUUCGUAGAUAUUAGGAAGAACACCAGUGGCGAAGGCGACUCACUGGAUCGGUACUGACGCUGAGGUGCGAAAGCGUGGGGAGCAAACAGGAUUAGAUACCCGCGUAGUCCCUGAGCGGGCUGGCAAGGCGCAU
This 448-nucleotide ribosomal RNA is filed under the name uncultured bacterium. RNAcentral's name for it is "bacterial SSU rRNA". It matches the Rfam family "Bacterial small subunit ribosomal RNA", at positions 355 to 825 of the family's 1533-position model. The record is from RNAcentral.